This 2906-nucleotide ribosomal RNA is filed under the name Citrobacter freundii. Its description in RNAcentral is "23S ribosomal RNA". It matches the Rfam family "Bacterial large subunit ribosomal RNA". Lineage: Bacteria; Pseudomonadati; Pseudomonadota; Gammaproteobacteria; Enterobacterales; Enterobacteriaceae. The record is from RNAcentral.
GGUUAAGCGACUAAGCGUACACGGUGGAUGCCCUGGCAGUCAGAGGCGAUGAAGGACGUGCUAAUCUGCGAUAAGCGUCGGUAAGGUGAUAUGAACCGUUAUAACCGGCGAUUUCCGAAUGGGGAAACCCAGUGUGAUUCGUCACACUAUCAUUACGUGAAUACAUAGCGUAAUGAAGCGAACCGGGGGAACUGAAACAUCUAAGUACCCCGAGGAAAAGAAAUCAACCGAGAUUCCCCCAGUAGCGGCGAGCGAACGGGGAGCAGCCCAGAGUCUGAAUCAGCUUGUGUGUUAGUGGAACGGUCUGGAAAGUCCGACGGUACAGGGUGAUAGUCCCGUACACCAAAAUGCACAGGUUGUGAACUCGAAGAGUAGGGCGGGACACGUGGUAUCCUGUCUGAAUAUGGGGGGACCAUCCUCCAAGGCUAAAUACUCCUGACUGACCGAUAGUGAACCAGUACCGUGAGGGAAAGGCGAAAAGAACCCCGGCGAGGGGAGUGAAAAAGAACCUGAAACCGUGUACGUACAAGCAGUGGGAGCCUCUUUAUGGGGUGACUGCGUACCUUUUGUAUAAUGGGUCAGCGACUUAUAUUCUGUAGCAAGGUUAACCGUAUAGGGGAGCCGAAGGGAAACCGAGUCUUAACUGGGCGUUAAGUUGCAGGGUAUAGACCCGAAACCCGGUGAUCUAGCCAUGGGCAGGUUGAAGGUUGGGUAACACUAACUGGAGGACCGAACCGACUAAUGUUGAAAAAUUAGCGGAUGACUUGUGGCUGGGGGUGAAAGGCCAAUCAAACCGGGAGAUAGCUGGUUCUCCCCGAAAGCUAUUUAGGUAGCGCCUCGUGAAUUCAUCUUCGGGGGUAGAGCACUGUUUCGGCUAGGGGGUCAUCCCGACUUACCAACCCGAUGCAAACUGCGAAUACCGAAGAAUGUUAUCACGGGAGACACACGGCGGGUGCUAACGUCCGUCGUGAAGAGGGAAACAACCCAGACCGCCAGCUAAGGUCCCAAAGUCAUGGUUAAGUGGGAAACGAUGUGGGAAGGCACAGACAGCCAGGAUGUUGGCUUAGAAGCAGCCAUCAUUUAAAGAAAGCGUAAUAGCUCACUGGUCGAGUCGGCCUGCGCGGAAGAUGUAACGGGGCUAAACCAUGCACCGAAGCUGCGGCAGCGACACUAUGUGUUGUUGGGUAGGGGAGCGUUCUGUAAGCCGUUGAAGGUGUAUCGUGAGGUAUGCUGGAGGUAUCAGAAGUGCGAAUGCUGACAUAAGUAACGAUAAUGCGGGUGAAAAACCCGCACGCCGGAAGACCAAGGGUUCCUGUCCAACGUUAAUCGGGGCAGGGUGAGUCGACCCCUAAGGCGAGGCCGAAAGGCGUAGUCGAUGGGAAACAGGUUAAUAUUCCUGUACUUGGUGUUACUGCGAAGGGGGGACGGAGAAGGCUAUGUUAGCCGGGCGACGGUUGUCCCGGUUUAAGCAUGUAGGCGGAGGUUCCAGGUAAAUCCGGUACCUUUUAACGCUGAGGUGUGAUGACGAGGCACUACGGUGCUGAAGUAACAAAUGCCCUGCUUCCAGGAAAAGCCUCUAAGCAUCAGGUAACACGAAAUCGUACCCCAAACCGACACAGGUGGUCAGGUAGAGAAUACCAAGGCGCUUGAGAGAACUCGGGUGAAGGAACUAGGCAAAAUGGUGCCGUAACUUCGGGAGAAGGCACGCUGAUAUGUAGGUGAAGUGAUUUACUCAUGGAGCUGAAAUCAGUCGAAGAUACCAGCUGGCUGCAACUGUUUAUUAAAAACACAGCACUGUGCAAACACGAAAGUGGACGUAUACGGUGUGACGCCUGCCCGGUGCCGGAAGGUUAAUUGAUGGGGUUAUCCGUAAGGAGAAGCUCUUGAUCGAAGCCCCGGUAAACGGCGGCCGUAACUAUAACGGUCCUAAGGUAGCGAAAUUCCUUGUCGGGUAAGUUCCGACCUGCACGAAUGGCGUAAUGAUGGCCAGGCUGUCUCCACCCGAGACUCAGUGAAAUUGAACUCGCUGUGAAGAUGCAGUGUACCCGCGGCAAGACGGAAAGACCCCGUGAACCUUUACUAUAGCUUGACACUGAACACUGGUCCUUGAUGUGUAGGAUAGGUGGGAGGCUUUGAAGUGUGGACGCCAGUCUGCAUGGAGCCAUCCUUGAAAUACCACCCUUUAAUGGCUGGUGUUCUAACGUGGACCCGUAAUCCGGGUUGCGGACAGUGUCUGGUGGGUAGUUUGACUGGGGCGGUCUCCUCCUAAAGAGUAACGGAGGAGCACGAAGGUUAGCUAAUCCUGGUCGGACAUCAGGAGGUUAGUGCAAAGGCAUAAGCUAGCUUGACUGCGAGAGUGACGGCUCGAGCAGGUGCGAAAGCAGGUCUUAGUGAUCCGGUGGUUCUGAAUGGAAGGGCCAUCGCUCAACGGAUAAAAGGUACUCCGGGGAUAACAGGCUGAUACCGCCCAAGAGUUCAUAUCGACGGCGGUGUUUGGCACCUCGAUGUCGGCUCAUCACAUCCUGGGGCUGAAGUAGGUCCCAAGGGUAUGGCUGUUCGCCAUUUAAAGUGGUACGCGAGCUGGGUUUAGAACGUCGUGAGACAGUUCGGUCCCUAUCUGCCGUGGGCGCUGGAGAAUUGAGGGGGGCUGCUCCUAGUACGAGAGGACCGGAGUGGACGCAUCACUGGUGUUCGGGUUGUCAUGCCAAUGGCAUUGCCCGGUAGCUAAAUGCGGAAGAGAUAAGUGCUGAAAGCAUCUAAGCACGAAACUUGCCCCGAGAUGAGUUCUCCCUGAGACUAUAAGUCUCCUGAAGGAACGUUGAAGACGACGACGUUGAUAGGUCGGGUGUGUAAGUGUAGCGAUACAUUGAGCUAACCGAUACUAAUGAACCGUGAGGCUUAACCUU